Molecule: unclassified non-coding RNA, 181 nt
Filed under: soil metagenome
Description: partial internal transcribed spacer 1
Source: RNAcentral
AAAUAUAAGUGAAUUUAUGGCACUUUUAAAAAAUAAAUCCAUAUACACCUUGUGUGCAAUGUAUGAGAAAAAAGAGAGGUUGUCAAAAGACCUCUUUUUCUCUCUCUAUAUCAUCAACUCUUUGCUUUGAACCAGUUUGUCUGAAAUAAACAUAUUCUUUGAAUAACUUAAUUCAAAAAUA